RNAcentral lists this long non-coding RNA (4061 nucleotides) under Apis mellifera (honey bee). RNAcentral describes it as "uncharacterized LOC113219057". The record is from RNAcentral. Lineage: Eukaryota; Metazoa; Arthropoda; Insecta; Hymenoptera; Apidae.
GUUGACAGCCAGACAGGCGGACGCAGGCCAGACCAGUGUGCAUCACCCCGGCCGAACGAGAGAAAAAGAAGGACAGCGGAACCACUGAUGUUGCAGAAUUUGCAUCGCAUCGCAUUAAUCUACACAAAAUACAACGGAGCAAUCGAGGAAACUACGCAUAAAUCCAAUGAUAAGAGUCGAUCAUUUAAUUAUCGGCCACGAUCGAUGGACAAUCGCCGCGAUUUAAUGUGAUUUGAGACGGGAUCUGGAUGUCUUCGUGCCGGUGAUCUGUCGGCAGAAUGCGGAAUUUUGCAAUCAGCGGGAAGAAUUGUAAGGAGGGGGCAUGUGUGACGGGCAGGCGACGGCGUUGAACCGAUAAAGAUGAAGGAUGAAGCCCUUUCCGAGCGAUUUGAUCGGAUUCCGUGUUUGAUCGCCGAUAAUCCAAUUUGCCCUCGACGCCCGGCGAGCUUUCGUAUACGAUACGAGAGGGGGGGAGGGGGGCAUGUAUUUUUCAACGAGCGUGCACCGUCUGCUUCGUACAGUUGAAUAGAUGCCCCCUGUCAGACGUGGAGCCGUUCAAUUUUCUGGAAUCAUGCAUAUAUAUCCCGUCGCGUCGCGGAGACAGCCGCCUAGAUCGAGGGAGGAAAAAGGUAUUCUUGCAUCGUGAAACGGUUUUUUUCCCCCACCCCCCCCCCUCCUCCUCCUGGGUCAAAAGGGAAAUCGACGAGUCGCAGGAUGGUAUCGAACGUUUUCUGGAUCCGAUUGCAACCUUCUUCAUAGGAUGUCUCGAUUUCAUCUUGGGCCCCAUACUCGAUAAAGAAGAAACGUAGCAUAUAUAUGUAAGUAGGUUGUAAAAUCGUUUGAAUUAUUGGGAUUUAUAUUAGAGUUAUAUACGUUGAGAGAUUAAAAUUAGCCCAUCUUGGUUAAAGUUACUUCUAUCUAAAUCAAAAAGUAAUUUUCUAAAUGUUCUAAAAAGGUAUUUAAUUAAAUUCGUAUAGUAACUCUGUUAGUAUAAAAUUAACCAGAAAAUUGCAUUUCUAAUUAUAAUAAAUUCUAAUUAUGAAAUCGAUAAGGUGAAAGAAAAAUCGGUAACGAUUCCGAGACUGUAAUUCGUGUAGCCAACUCGUGAAGAGGAUCAUUCAACAGGUGUACCGGUGAUGCGCGAGAAAUUGCGGAAAGGAAAAAGCGCGAUGGGUACAAAGAGUGACGCGUUAUUUGUCCGCGCGAAGUCGCGACGCUUGGAAAGAGCUGGCUGCAAACAUUUCAGUUAUUAACAGAUAACAACGGUGCACGUAUACGAGAAAGGGAAGAAACGAACGAGAAAAAUCAAUUCGUGUCGAGAUACGUACAUUGGGUAAAAUUUUAGAAUCAAUUUUCUAAUUAUGUUAAAUUUUUAAUUUAUUUAUUAAUUUGAGAAUAAUGGUACGAAUAUUAAUUUUACUGAUUUUAGUUUACGAGUAAAUCGUGUAGAUAAUUAAUAAAUGUGUUAAUUUGCUUGAUAAAGCAAUAUAUUAAAUGAAAUAUUUGUUCCAAUGUUAAUAUUAUAAUAUUUUUAAUUUCGACGUACUAUAAUUCUCAAAUCCAUAGAUCUGUGGAUUCUAUUGCCUUGCAUCAUUUCUAAAACACAUUACCUCAUCCGUGCUGCAUCAAUGACACGUUCUCUUCUAAAAGAGAAAAUUGUGCAAUUUUGAAUAUUAUUAAAAGAUACGUAAGAAGAGAUGAAGCAUAGCUAAAACAAAUCAUCGUAUACGUGAUCCAUCUACGUGAUAUAUAUAUAUAUAUAUGUACAAUUAAUCGAAAAGAAGGAAAUUCAAAUUUUUUUCGACCAGAUAUGGAACACGUGGCACCCGAUUCCAAAGGCCGAUCGUUCGAUGCCGGUCGCGUAUAAAUUUCAUCCGGCCGUUUAAUUGAAUAUUUAAGCGAGAGGCCCCGGCUGAUUUCGCAUAAUCGACAAGUUCAUUGACUUCGAAAGAACAACUUCGAGAGGCAGUAUACGCGCGGCGUCUGGGUUCGUCGCCAACUGUAUAUUCCCUUUCGCGGUCUCGUCGUUAGACCGAUCGGCCGAUCGCUCUUUUCAGCUCCCCCUUUUUCCAGUUUCGGCCGCCCUCUCCUCCUCGUUUCUCUUUUUUCGGCCUGUGGUGUGGCGUGGCUUGGUAACUGGUGGCAGCAUCACCAGCCAUCACCCUGCGUAUUCGUAUACAAGGCCUGUUGUCCUCAUGUUCCACGCAUGAAGUAACGAAGCGAUACGACGUUGUGCGUGACGUUUGCGAUCAGUGGUUCGGGAACGGCAGGUGUAACUGUAAAAAACAGCCGCAAAAAUUCAGGCUGCUCGAAAAGAGAGAAGCCCUUGCCCGGAGCCUCCACUUUCUCAUCCAGUUUCACCGUCCGCUCUGCCUCUCUUUCCCACUCCCUUUUCCCCUUUGACCAUCCCUUCUACGCCCUUGGCUGCCUUCUGGUAUUUGAUGGAAUAAUAACAGGACGAGCGGGGAAGAUUCGUGAUGGGCCGGGGCCUCGUUUCCAAUGCGGUAUGACGCGGUCGAACGACUGGAGCUGCUGGAUAAACGACAGGUUGGACAGGAAAAAGAAACUUUGUGAAACGGCCCUCCCCGCUCUUCGGGCCCGUUUCUCGAAUUAUUCAAAGUUUUGAGAAUUAACUUUCCACUUUCGAAUGAUUUGUUGAAUCAGAUAGAUAGUUCGAGGAAUCGAAUCUCAGUAUUUAAUUUGCAAGGGAUAUUAUUCUUCUUAAACUUGCUGGAAAACGGUAUUUUAUAUUUUAUUCGCAAUAUAUAUUUCGCUUUGUAUAGCUUUUCCAAAAUCACGACACCGCGUAAUUGCAUUACGUUUGAUUCAGAAUCGUUCGAGCGCGUGAAUUCUUUUUCGAAUCGAGCCAACCACGAGGAAUGUUCUGCUCCAUCAAUCAGCCUCGUUCCUAGCCCGACUGUGUCUCGUACAUUGUCCAGAGAGACCCACCACUCCGUGGCUAUCCACGCUCUUGCGAUCGUGUUUCUACAAAACGCGCCGUCUUGUCUGAGAACGCAGGGCCGGUGCAGCCUUGAUCGUCGCGCGCGAGAGGAAUACGCUUAAAGAUCCUUCUCCACCUGGACGAGCGUCCGGGACAUUAAUUCUAUAAGAACGUUGGGAAACAUCGAAAGGAUAUUCAGGCUAGAACGUAUGUUGUAGACUCCUCGUAGAUAGAUAGAGAGUGGAAAUUGAAUUCAUUGUGAAUGGAGAAAUGUUUGAUGUCUGUGCGCGAUUGAUGAAUUAGUCGAUUAUUCAUUGCACGAUGGAGAUGAGUGGAUUCGUUGAUCCAUUUGAAAUCAUGGUCAAUGAGAUAUUCCUCAAGAAUUGAUACGUUUUAAUUGUCGUAUUAAAAUAAAAUUAGAUUAAUUUCACGUAAUUUUAAUUUUUGUUUACGUCGUAUUUCUGCAACUUUUUAUAUUUUUGAUAUCAAUUUUUUUUUUUGGAAUACAAAUUGGAUCUCAUCGUGAAAUUUUUAUUCAUUGCACGAUGGAGAUGAGUGGAUUCGUUGAUCCAUUUGAAAUCGUGGUCAAUGAGAUAUUCCUCAAGAAUUGAUACGUUUUAAUUGUCGUAUUAAAAUAAAAUUAGAUUAAUUUCACGUAAUUUUAAUUUUUGUUUACGUUGUAUUUCUGCAACUUUUUAUAUUUUUGAUAUCAAUUUUCUUUUUUUUUUUUGGAGUACGAAUUGGAUCUCGUCGUGAAAUUUUGAAGAGUUAUUUCCAAGAGGAUGAAAAAGCAGGAUUAUAUGUUUUAUAAUCUUUUAAAAUCUCUUUCCCUCAGAAAAACAUGCAGACAUUCCCAAGAUACAUACGGUCACGUCCGGAACGUUGGGUGGUCAUGCACACUUCUUGCACCCUAAUCUCAAACGACUCAUCCUUCCAUGCAUGUCUAACAUUCGAUACUCAUUGCCAGUCAUUUGCUAUAAACAUUCACACCAUGCGUUACUAUCCUCUACGGUUACUUUAAGACUUGGUAAUUCAAAUAGAGUACGGUAUUAUGGCGUAAAUUUUAUAGCCUUUUGAACAAUUGUUAAAAGGUUUUUUGAAUAGCGAUCGAAAGGAUAGA